GAUGAAGAACGUAGCGAAAUGCGAUAAGCAAUGUGAAUUGCAGAAUUCAGUGAAUCAUCGAAUCUUUGAACGCACAUUGCGCCCGCCAGUAUUCUGGCGGGCAUGCCUGUUCGAGCGUCAUUUCAACCAUCAAGCCCUGCUUGCGUUGGGGUCCUGCGGCUGCCCGCAGGCCCUGAAAACCAGUGGCGGGCUCGCUAGUCACACCGAGCGCAGUAAUACAUCUCGCUUUGGGCGUGCGGCGGGUUCUUGCCGUUAAACACCCCCUUUUUACCAAGGUUGACCUCGGAUCAGGUAGGAAUACCCGCUGAACUUAAGCAUAUCAAUAAGCGGAGGA
RNAcentral lists this unclassified non-coding RNA (334 nucleotides) under soil metagenome. Its description in RNAcentral is "partial contains 5.8S ribosomal RNA, internal transcribed spacer 2, and large subunit ribosomal RNA". The stretch from base 1 to 120 matches the Rfam family "5.8S ribosomal RNA", at positions 35 to 154 of the family's 154-position model. The record is from RNAcentral.